RNAcentral lists this ribosomal RNA (207 nucleotides) under uncultured Eubacteriales bacterium. RNAcentral's name for it is "uncultured Clostridiales bacterium partial 16S ribosomal RNA". It matches the Rfam family "Bacterial small subunit ribosomal RNA", at positions 127 to 334 of the family's 1533-position model. Lineage: Bacteria; Bacillati; Bacillota; Clostridia; Eubacteriales. The record is from RNAcentral.
CGCAUUACACAAGGGGAUAGCCGUUGGAAACGACGAAUAAUACCCUAUGAAACUAUCACUUCGCAUGAAGCGAUAGUCAAAGUGUUAGCGGUGUAAGAUGGACUUGCGUCUGAUUAGCUAGUUGGUGAGAAAAAAGCCCACCAAGGCAACGAUCAGUAGCCGGCUUGAGAGAGUGUACGGCCACAUUGGGACUGAGACACGGCCCAG